This 4250-nucleotide unclassified non-coding RNA is filed under the name Leishmania donovani. RNAcentral's name for it is "gene:LdHU3.19.1400(CDS-product:hypothetical_prote in_conserved)". Lineage: Eukaryota; Euglenozoa; Kinetoplastea; Trypanosomatida; Trypanosomatidae. The record is from RNAcentral.
CCGCUGAAGCACGUGCACAGCGCAUCACGCUGCGUCUCAGGAAUAGAAUCAGCUCAUACACGCACACACACACUUAACGCAUGCCCAUAGAUAUGCAUACACCUCUCUACCAUCAUAUACGCAUACACAUACAUUGAGUAACUGGGAAGCACGUGUCCGUCACCUUCUCUUUUCAACGCCGCCCACUUUCUCCGCUGCUCACUCUCCAGGUAUCCGACAAAGGCCCCAGAACGCCCAAAAGAAAAGAGGGAGGGGAGAGGAGCGAGAAAAAGGGCCGGGCGCCGUGCACAGACCCUCUGUCCGUGUGCGGCCAAGCGACCCCAUCUCGCCAUCGCCACCAGCACCCAUGAGUUACACCACCUCACACCUCUUUAACUUUCCUUCGUCGUCGUCUUGCACUCGCCCUCUUGCACACCUCUCUGCUGGUGCGCCUGUGAGCCCCAUGACAUCCACAGCCUCACUGGCAUCCCCUCCGAUGCAGCCGAGCUCUCCCCCGGCUGGGCCCUCUGUGGGCCCCCAACAGCUCGCGAAUCGACGUCAGAUCGUGCCUCUCCUAAGCAGCAGUGCCGGUGACGGCGAUGCCGUUGUGCCGCAGCCGUCGGCAGGCACGCCGGGGACGGUGCCGCGGAAAGCCUCCUACACCGCUAACCUCGAAGCGCAGGUGCGCGUCCUGGAGCAGGAGGUGCGCCUCCUGCGCACUGGACUGGAGCAGAACGAGAAACUGCGGCACGCCUCCGCAACUGCUGCGCCGCUGCCGCAACGCUCCCCAUCGUCGAAGCGAGUCCAUUUCGGCCCGUCAUCGGUCGUUGUGCUGUCCCAGCCACCACGGCCGGCGAGCGCGUCCUCCACUGUGGCCACGGAAGUAGACGGUCGUCCUCGCCUUGCGUUCGGGCAACGUGUCAGCGCGACGCACUCACGGAUCGCGGCACGCGGCCCUCCUCAUGCGGAUACUUUGCAAUCACGUCGCAUGGCAAGUCUCGGCAAGCCCGCCCGUACGAGCACGCGGUCUGCAUCAGUGUCCUCGUCCUCUCCUGCACCAGCUACCUCCACCACCUCAGUAAACCUCUCGCCGGCCCCCGCCUCCCUGCGCGGAGGCAACACCAACGGCAUCCCUCUGCAAGGUGCCGCCACUGGUGGUACGCUCGUCACCCCCGUCACCGCGGACGCGCAGCCUCCCGCCUCCUCACUCACUGGCCCCUCCUCUGUGUCUCCAGCGGCGGCGACGGUGUGGGCAUCGACUGACCCGAGCCUGCUCUGGCCACGCGCAGCAGCGGCCGCGACCGGCACUCUUGCGAACGCGUCGGAUCUUUCCCGCUACCCAUUCCGGGCCAUGACUACCUCCUCGCCGGCGGCAGCACCCACGCCAGUGAUUCCAGAGCCACCUGUCAUGAGUAGUGCGCAGGUCGUCAGCGCUCCUGUAGGUACAGCCAGCGCCGCUGCGUCACCCAUUGUAGUAGCGAUGAGCAGCGAGGGACAUCCCCUGACAUCCUUGCCGCAGCGAGCAACGCCCGCUUCAGGUCCGGUAACUGACGCAACGCCCUCCCCUGCUGCAGUGCCGGCCGCUCCGCCAGCGACCCCGCCACCUGCUGCAGACAUCGCACUCGCCGCUGCCAGCCCGCUUGCCCGUGCCACGGCGCUGCCUCCCUCCGUGAGUGCCACCGCUACGCCCGCAGGGUCUUCAUCCCCAGCUGCAGGGCCGGCCACAGUGGCACAACUAGAAACAGAAGUGCUGUCCCUGCGGGACGCGCUCGCGCAGCGAGAAGCCCUCUUGCACCGCGUGUUGCUGGAACUUCACGACAGAAACGGCAGCGGCGGCGCUUGCCGUCAGGGUUCGCCGGCGAGAGGAGAGACGCCACCGCGCCAACGUCAAGGCACCGGUGCAGCCGUGGCGGCGCCGGGGGAGAGGGAGCGACAGCAGAGCCGGCAGGCCAUGCGGAUUUUGACCGAAGAAUUGUUUGCCGUGCAGACCCAACUGAGCCACGCUCGAGCCUCGCAUCAGCUGGUCGUCGCUGAGCUUCAUACAUGUCGUCAGCAGGCUCAUCAAGUGCCGCCACUGCAGAAGCAGCGAGCAGCAGCAGCAGCACCAGAGGAGACUCCUCCUGCUGGGACGUCGCAGCCGUCGUCAGGCCCUCUCCAAAAGCAACUCGACGUCGCUCUCAAGAAGCUGAAAGCGUGGGAGGACUGGUAUGCGGCAAGCGCCACCGCAGCAGGAGAUGAAGCUGCGGGUGUCACCGCAGGCAACAGCAACGCUAUCCCCAGCGCGAAGGAUGCAUUCUCUUCGUCGCGGCAGCAGCCACCGUCGAAGGCGAACAAUGCAGAGCAGUCGGCUGGGGCAGCAGUGGCAACCACAGGCCCUCACAACAGGAAAGGCAGCCCCGAAAAAGAGAAGCGCGCGCACAAGACGACAGCACCGGGCUGGUGUCCGCACUGCGGCAUCGCCCUGCCAGCAGCACCAUCAGUUCUGAAAAAGAGUAGCAGGGUCGGCAGUGGGGUUGUGCCGUGCGGUGUCGGGCUGCCUGGGCUCGCACCGGCAUCCGCCACAUCCGAUCUUCCAGCCUACUACGCAUCUCUGUCCUCCCCCUCCGCACUCUUACCGCAGAGGCCGCAUGCUGCGGCACCAUCAGCGCCGUACGUGUCGGCAUACGCACUAGAUUCCGCCAUGUUCCACCACCUGACGAGCCAGUUCGGCGGCAGUGGCGCCGGGGUUAGCGGCAGCGCUGGAGCGGAGCCAGAGGCGGCAAACAAGAUGUCAGGCGGGGCGGCAACCCCACCGCCACCGCCGCCAGAGGCAGCGUCGUCGCCGUCCUCUCCCACGCAGGCUAAUGAAACCAAAGGCAAGUCGAGAAGUGCGCAUGUAUCGGAAAAAGCGUACGCGGCCACGGCGCAUCAAAACAGCCACACCGGUGCCUGUGGCGCGUCUCCGAUGUGGGCGGUGCCGAUAAGUGGGACCAGCACCGCCGGCGUGAGUGGUGUCAAAGGAGGUGCUCGUGAGAGAGCCAUGCAAGCUGCGUUCAUGGGCGGCAGAGCGGCGAGCGUCCCCUAUGUCUCCCCGUACUGCGACCGCCUCGACCACGCGCAGCAGCAGGCCUACCGCGCUCAGCGGUAUGUCACGCAGCUCGCCCGCGAAGCGGCGGUGCGGGAGCUCGCAGAGGCAGAACGGCAGGUGGCAGAGCAGCGCCUCUCCUUCUGGAAGCAUCAUCAUCCAAGCUCACACGACCUGUCCGCCACGUCACCAACUCCGCCUUCCCUCGCGUCGUGCUCCUCCACGCCAGGCGGGCCGCCCAGUGCAGCAGUGUGCAAACAAGAGGUUGUUGAGUGAGCGGAUGCCUGGAUGGUGUUCGCAUGGUGGGCGUCCUUCGCGUAGGCAUACGUACCGCCAAUAAACGCUCAGCUGAAGCGCAGUGAUGGCGUGAGAGACGACCAGCAGAGGGCUUGCGCGUACAUGCGUACGUCACGGUCGGUCUGGGGUGCGCAGGGACUACUCCCCCCCCUCCCUACCUCCAUCCCACCAUUGCUGCCCUUGAUGCUUGUUGGAAAGGGGGGAGUUUCUCUUGCGUUUUUUUUUUUAUAGAGAGAGAUGUCUGCGCUCGGUUACUUUGUUUAGCGUCUAGCACACGGAGAACGCGUCCGCCUGAUGGUGUCAACGCGCGCGUGACGGUGUGGAUGCGGCCACCGGCCAGAGCGAACCGACGCGCGUGGGAGCGCCAGAGGUGGAGCAGAGAGGAGGCGUAGAUGGGAACAGACACCCAUGUGUGUGCGUGGGCGUGCGUAUAGGGCGGGUAAGUGAGCGUGAGGGAUGCUUGUGCAGACGGUAGUGGAAGGCGCGGGGAAGUGCUGCGCUCACGAGCUGCGCGUGCAGUGGCGAUUGUAAUCUCUGUCUCCGAAGCUCCCGCGGUGUUCUCCGGCUGUACGCACGUGGUGCCCUUGGUCGUGUGUUCCUUCUCCUUCCACUGUUACUUCUCCUAUGCGCCGUCGGCACGUCCCCUUCUAUGGCACGAGACGCUGCUGUGCGCACAGGGCACAUGCUCACCUGCCCAUGCGUGCGCACACGCGCAAACGGAGAAGCGCAAACAUGCUGUGCGCUUCCCUGCGCACGCAAGUCGAACGCUCGACCAGAGCGGACAUGAAUGGCCCCCAGGCGUGCCCCAACAUCAUUAGCGGGUGUAUAGAGCGAAGCUCUGACCUCUUUUUUCCAACCGCACCACCACACCAUACUGAAGCCGAGACGUAUCCGACGUUGUAUACAAGGC